UACGUAGGGGGCAAGCGUUGUCCGGAUUUAUUGGGCGUAAAGCGCGUGUAGGCGGCCAGGUAGGUCCGCUGUGAAAACUCGAGGCUCAACCUCGAGACGUCGGCGGAAACCAUCUGGCCAGAGUCCGGAAGAGGAGAGUGGAAUUCCUGGUGUAGCGGUGAAAUGCGCAGAUAUCAGGAAGAAUAUCCGUGGCGAAGGCGGCUCUCUGGGACGGUACUGACGCUGAGACGCGAAAGCGUGGGGAGCGAACAGG
RNAcentral lists this ribosomal RNA (253 nucleotides) under uncultured bacterium. Its description in RNAcentral is "partial 16S ribosomal RNA". It matches the Rfam family "Bacterial small subunit ribosomal RNA", at positions 524 to 776 of the family's 1533-position model. The record is from RNAcentral.